Molecule: ribosomal RNA, 497 nt
Filed under: uncultured bacterium
Lineage: Bacteria
Description: partial 16S ribosomal RNA
Rfam family: Bacterial small subunit ribosomal RNA
Source: RNAcentral
GAUGAACGCUGGCGGCGUGCCUAAUACAUGCAAGUCGAGCGAACAGACGAGGAGCUUGCUCCUCUGACGUUAGCGGCGGACGGGUGAGUAACACGUGGAUAACCUACCUAUAAGACUGGGAUAACUUCGGGAAACCGGAGCUAAUACCGGAUAAUAUAUUGAACCGCAUGGUUCAAUAGUGAAAGACGGUUUUGCUGUCACUUAUAGAUGGAUCCGCGCCGCAUUAGCUAGUUGGUAAGGUAACGGCUUACCAAGGCAACGAUGCGUAGCCGACCUGAGAGGGUGAUCGGCCACACUGGAACUGAGACACGGUCCAGACUCCUACGGGAGGCAGCAGUAGGGAAUCUUCCGCAAUGGGCGAAAGCCUGACGGAGCAGCGCCGCGUGAAUGAUGAAGGUCUUCGGAUCGUAAAACUCUGUUAUUAGGGAAGAACAAAUGUGUAAGUAACUAUGCACGUCUUGACGGUACCUAAUCAGAAAGCCACGGCUAACUACGUG